RNAcentral lists this ribosomal RNA (615 nucleotides) under Ochthebius legionensis. RNAcentral's name for it is "partial 16S ribosomal RNA". The stretch from base 379 to 537 matches the Rfam family "Bacterial large subunit ribosomal RNA", at positions 2473 to 2632 of the family's 2925-position model. The record is from RNAcentral. Lineage: Eukaryota; Metazoa; Arthropoda; Insecta; Coleoptera; Hydraenidae.
GUCUUUUUGAUUAUAAUUUAAAGUCUAAUCUGCCCAAUGAGUAUUUAAAUGGCUGCGGUAUUUUGACCGUACAAAGGUAGCAUAAUCAUUAGUUUUUUAAUUGAAAGCUAGAAUGAAUGAUUGAACGAGAAAAUUACUGUCUCAAUUUAAUUUUUUUAGAAUUUUAUUUUUAAGUCAAAAAGCUUAAAUAAUUUUUAAAGACGAGAAGACCCUAUAGAGUUUAAUAUUUUUAAAUAUAAUAAAUUUUAUGAAUACUAUAAAUUUUUAAAAAUAUUUUGUUGGGGUGAUAAUUAAAUUUAAAAAACUUUAAUUUUUAAUUACAUAAAUUUAUGAAUAUAUGAUCCAUUUAUAAUGAUUAAAAGAUUAAAUUACCUUAGGGAUAACAGCGUAAUUUUUUUUGAGAGUUCUAAUCGAAAAAAAAGAUUGCGACCUCGAUGUUGGAUUAAAAUUAAAUUUUGGUGUAGAAGCUAAAACUUUAAGUCUGUUCGACUUUUAAAAUUUUACAUGAUCUGAGUUUAAACCGGUGUGAGCCAGGUUGGUUUCUAUCUUAAAAUAAUUUAAAUAUUUUAGUACGAAAGGACCAAAUAUUUAUAAUAAUUAUUAAUUUAUGAAUAU